This 369-nucleotide ribosomal RNA is filed under the name uncultured bacterium. RNAcentral describes it as "bacterial SSU rRNA". It matches the Rfam family "Bacterial small subunit ribosomal RNA", at positions 525 to 896 of the family's 1533-position model. The record is from RNAcentral.
ACGGAGGGUGCAAGCGUUAUCCGGAUUCACUGGGUUUAAAGGGUGCGUAGGUGGGCUGGUAAGUCAGUGGUGAAAUCCCCGAGCUUAACUUGGGAACUGCCAUUGAUACUAUCAGUCUUGAAUACCGUGGAGGUCAGCGGAAUAUGUCAUGUAGCGGUGAAAUGCUUAGAUAUGACAUAGAACACCAAUUGCGAAGGCAGCUGGCUACUCGGAUAUUGACACUGAGGCACGAAAGCGUGGGGAUCAAACAGGAUUAGAUACCCUGGUAGUCCACGCCCUAAACUAUGGAUACUCGACAUUUGCGAUAAACUGUAAGUGUCUGAGCGAAAGCAUUAAGUAUCCCACCUGGGAAGUACGACCGCAAGGUUG